Molecule: ribosomal RNA, 769 nt
Filed under: uncultured marine group I thaumarchaeote
Lineage: Archaea; Thermoproteati; Nitrososphaerota
Description: SSU rRNA
Rfam family: Archaeal small subunit ribosomal RNA
Source: RNAcentral
GUAACGCGUAGUCAACCUACCCUAUGGACGGGAAUAACCUCGGGAAACUGAGUAUAAUGCCCGAUAGAACAUUAUGCCUGGAAUGGUUUAUGUUCCAAAUGAUUUAUCGCCGUAGGAUGGGACUGCGGCCUAUCAGUUUGUUGGUGAGGUAAUGGCCCACCAAGUCUAUUACAGGUACGGGCUCUGAGAGGAGUAGCCCGGAGAUGGGUACUGAGACACGGACCCAGGCCCUAUGGGGCGCAGCAGGCGAGAAAACUUUGCAAUGUGCGAAAGCACGACAAGGUUAAUCCGAGUGGUUUCUGCUAAAGGAACCUUUUGUCAGUCCUAAAAACACUAACGAAUAAGGGGUGGGCAAGUUCUGGUGUCAGCCGCCGCGGUAAAACCAGCACCUCAAGUGGUCAGGAUGAUUAUUGGGCCUAAAGCAUCCGUAGCCUGCCCUGUAAGUUUUCGGUUAAAUCUGUAUGCUCAACAUACAGGCCGCCGGGAAUACUGCAGGGCUAGGGAGUGGGAGAGGUAGACGGUACUCGGGAGGAAGUGGUAAAAUGCUUUGAUCUCUCGAUGACCACCUGUGGCGAAGGCGGUCUACCAGAACACGUCCGACGGUGAGGGAUGAAAGCUGGGGGAGCAAACCGGAUUAGAUACCCGGGUAGUCCCAGCCGUAAACUAUGCAAACUCAGUGAUGCAUUGGCUUGUGGCCAAUGCAGUGUUGCAGGGAAGCCGUUAAGUUUGCCGCCUGGGAAGUACGUACGCAAGUAUGAAACUUAAAGGA